This 231-nucleotide ribosomal RNA is filed under the name uncultured Staphylococcus sp. RNAcentral's name for it is "partial 16S ribosomal RNA". It matches the Rfam family "Bacterial small subunit ribosomal RNA", at positions 109 to 334 of the family's 1533-position model. The record is from RNAcentral. Lineage: Bacteria; Bacillati; Bacillota; Bacilli; Caryophanales; Staphylococcaceae.
AGUAACACGUGGAUAACCUACCUAUAAGACUGGUAUAACUUCGGGAAACCGGAGCUAAUACCGGAUAAUAUUUUGAACCGCAUGGUUCAAAAGUGAAAGACGGUCUUGCUGUCACUUAUAGAUGGAUCCGCGCUGCAUUAGCUAGUUGGUAAGGUAAUGGCUUACCAAGGCAACGAUGCAUAGCCGACCUGAGAGGGUGAUCGGCCACACUGGAACUGAGACACGGUCCAG